This 72-nucleotide transfer RNA is filed under the name Piptocephalis tieghemiana. RNAcentral's name for it is "tRNA-Pro". It matches the Rfam family "tRNA". From Rfam's summary of the family: Transfer RNA (tRNA) molecules are approximately 80 nucleotides in length. Their secondary structure includes four short double-helical elements and three loops (D, anti-codon, and T loops). Lineage: Eukaryota; Fungi; Zoopagomycota; Zoopagomycetes; Zoopagales; Piptocephalidaceae. The record is from RNAcentral. RNAcentral also lists the same sequence under 1 other name.
GGCCCGAUGGUCUAGUAGUAUGAUUCUCGCUUAGGGUGCGAGAGGUCCCGGGUUCAAUUCCCGGUCGGGCCC